This is a non-coding RNA of Podarcis lilfordi (Lilford's wall lizard), 70 nucleotides long. Lineage: Eukaryota; Metazoa; Chordata; Lepidosauria; Squamata; Lacertidae. The record is from the annotation of a GenBank genome assembly.
GCUGUAGCUCAGUGAUAGAGCACUAGCUCGGGCUUGCAGGAGAUCCCAGGUUCAACUCCUGGCAUCUCCA